GCAGGGGUCCGUGUCACAAGUGUGUGAUCCUGAUCAGGCUGCCGAGGCUGUGGAUGUGGAACCUGGAACUGGAGAGGUGCCGGAUAAGUUGUUCGGGUACUUUUUCUGCAGAGAGAAGCCGACGAUGAUGGGGGAAAUCACCUGAGAAGUGAGCCUUGUGAUGGAGAAUCAAAAAAAUAAAAAAGCAAGUUUGAAUGAUAAAGGAAGUGGAAGUAGCAGUAGCCGACCCUUUCAAGACAUAUGGACCGAGAUGUAUGGGAUUGUCAACAGAAACAACAGAUCAUUGUGCAUACUGUGUAAUGAAAUGGUAGUAAGCAGAACGUGGAAUGUAAAGAGACAUUUUGAAACUAAUCAUUGUCAGCUCUUGAAAAAAAGUAUCGAUGAAAGGAAGGAAUACAUUUCUAGGCAGCUACACCUCUAUAAAAGUCAAUCAAAUUCCAUCAUUAAAUUCGUAAGAUGCUCUACAAAUUUAACAUCAGCAAGUUACUGUAUUGCUCACUUCAUAGCUCAGCAUGGAAAAGCCCUCAGUGAUGGAGAAUUUAUUAAGGAAACAUUUCUAAGAUGUGCACCAGCUCUAUUUCACGAUAUGAAAAAUAAAGAUGAUAUUAUUAAAAGAAUUUCUGAGUUACCACUCAGUAGAAAUACUAUCAAAGACAGAAUAAUAGAUCUUAACAAAAACGUACAACAUCAAUUAAAAAAAGACAAAUAGUUGUAAAUAUUUUUCGAUUUCUCUUGAUGAAACAACUGAUGUCACAUCAAAUGCUCGGUUGGCCAUUAGUGCUAGAUAUUCUGAUGGCCUCACAAUGAGAGAAGAGUUGAUAAAGUUAGAAUCAGUGCCAAUAAGUACAUCAGGAAACGAAAUAUGUAAGGUUGUUAUAAAAACAUUCAGUGACCUAAACAGUGAUAUCUCUAAAAUUGUGUCAGUCACAACAGAUGGGGCACCAAAUAUGGUGGGGAAAAAUGUGGGAUUCCUGAAAUUGUUUAUGGAAGCUAUUAGACAUCCACUUGUACCUUUUUUAAAAAAAAAUACAUUUUAUUGAUUUUUUUACGGAGAGGAAGGGAGAGGGAUAGAGAGUUAGAAACAUUGAUGAGAGAGAAACAUCAAUUUAGCUGUCUCCUGCACACUCCCUACUGGGGAUGUGCCCACAACCAAGGUAUAUGCCUUUGACCAGAAUUGAACCUGGGACCCUUCAGUCCGCAGGCCUGUGCUCUAUCCACUGAGCCAAAUUGGUUAGAGCUCCACUUGUACCUUUUCAUUGCAUUUUCCAUCAGGAGGUGUUGUGUGCCAAAUCGGGAUUCUCAGAAUUGAAUGAUUGAAUGUCAGUUGUAACAAAAAUUGUGAAUUGUAUAGCUUCUCGACCCCUUCACAAGCGAGAAUUUUCUGCACUUUUACAGGAAGUUGAUUCAACCUACAGUGGACUAAUGAUGUUCAAUAAUGUGAGAUGGCUGAGUCGAGGUAAAGUACUUGAGCGAUUUGUGGAGUGCUUUGAAGAAAUUACGGUAUUUAUUGAGAAUAAGGAUCUGGCAAACUUUCCUCAGAUCAGUUUUGGCAAAAGUAUUGACGUUAUGUUUGGAUACAUCAAAUCUUUUGAAAGUAAACUUAAAAUUUUGAAGUGAGAUAUUGAAACUAAAACUUAUAAGUAUUUUCUUCGUAUAAAAAAGUAUUUCAAGAAGGCACUACGACAGGUGUAAUGGAGUCCAUACUUAUGUACCAGAAUAUAGUAAACUCGUUAUUUGAACAGUUCAGUGAAAGAUUCGACCAAUUUAGAAGCCUAGAACAGACCAUUCAAAUAAUUACGUAUCCGGAUGUAGUUUUUAACAGUACUUUGGAAUUAAAGGAUUUCCAAUGGAUGCAAAUUGAUGAUUUAGAGAUGCAACUUGCAGAUUUUCAAGGUAGCAUUUGGACACAUGUGUGUGUCGACUUAAGGUUGAAA
Molecule: long non-coding RNA, 1934 nt
Organism: Myotis daubentonii (Daubenton's bat)
Lineage: Eukaryota; Metazoa; Chordata; Mammalia; Chiroptera; Vespertilionidae
Source: RefSeq, a predicted model, not a curated record